Molecule: ribosomal RNA, 418 nt
Filed under: bacterium
Lineage: Bacteria
Description: partial 16S ribosomal RNA
Rfam family: Bacterial small subunit ribosomal RNA
Source: RNAcentral
UGGGGGAUAUUGCACAAUGGGCGAAAGCCUGAUGCAGCGACGCCGCGUGGGGGAUGAAGGCCUUCGGGUUGUAAACUUCUUUUGCUCUGAACAAGGCGCACCAUGGGGUGUGUUGAGUGUAGGGGUUGAUUAGCGCCGGCUAACUACGUGCCAGCAGCCGCGGUAAUACGUAGGGCGCGAGCGUUGUCCGGAAUUAUUGGGCGUAAAGGGCUUGUAGGUGGCUGGUUGCGUCUGUCGUGAAAGCUCAUGGCUUAACUGUGGGUUUGCGGUGGGUACGGGCUGGCUUGAGUGCAGUAGGGGAGGCUGGAAUUCCUGGUGUAGCGGUGGAAUGCGCAGAUAUCAGGAGGAAUACCGGUGGCGAAGGCGGGUCUCUGGGCUGUUACUGACACUGAGGAGCGAAAGCAUGGGGAGCGAACAG